GGAAAUGCUGCUCUUCCUUUGAGGUGAGUGGGUAGCUGGGGCCCAAAACAACCCCUGCUGCCUGCCUCUGCUCUUUGAGGAACGGCUCAGCACAGCUCACCUUACCCACGGAGACCCUUGAUAGAUGGCAUGUGGAACAAUCUGAUCUCUCCCUUUUCCCAGGACAGACUUGUUCCUGACAAUACGCUUCAUAUCUGUUAUCAAAUGAAUUAAAACAUGCAAAUCAGAGAAAGGUCUGCAGAGUUACCCCGGUGCUUUCAAAGAGCCUAAAGUCACAAUUUAUUGCAACUCGGAGCCUUUUAAAAACAACGACUGCUUUAGCAGAGCUGGGGGGGAAGAGGGGUUGCGCGUGCAGUCAAAGCCGUAAACGCAAGCCUUAGCCUGAAAAAAGGUAAUUGUGCUGUGAAUGCUGACAGAUCUGACAGAAAGUGUCUUCAUUGAGAAAUUGCAUUUUGAAGUUCUUCCCAUUCCUUCAGAAAUAAAUGGACUAAAGCACCAGGGCUGGCUCUGACAGGAAGCGGGGACUCGGGACUUCAAAUACAAACAUUAUGAAAAACAAGCAACAUCUGCAAACACACCCUUCAAGUUCCAGAGGGAAAAAACACAUCAGGCUGCUCUGUCUUUAUCCCGGGGAAUCUAAACUAGAAUUGAGCGCGUUGCAGGCAAUCAAUACUGCUGUGCAAAUUAGCCUUUAUGACUGAACCACUGUUUGCUCAGAGGAAGAAAAAAAAAUCAGCGCUCCUGAUGCCCAGAUUGUAGUGCUGCCUGGGCAGUCCAGGGCUCUGCUCACAGGGCUCCCACAGAGCUGCUCAGUGUGGGAAGGACACAGUUCUGAGCUUGUUGCACUGAGCCUGUGCUGUUCCUCUCAAGCAACAGAUGAGCAGGAGGUGAAGUGAGGACUUCGGACUGAAGUUGAGAAGAAACCUCCCCCAGGGCCCCAAGGCCAACUAAGCACGAGGUGUCCAGAGGGGAUGUGCACUCAUCAUCCCUAAAUAUUUUCAAGACCUAAGGAGAAAAAUCCCUCAACAACUUCUUUAGAGCACACAGUAACUUGUUUUGAGCAGGACUAGAGACCUCCAGUGGCUCCUUCCAACCUAAGCUAUGGCCACAAAUCUCUCUUUAAAACCGAACUACGAACACCUGCUGAGUUGCUUCAGUAAGACACACCUUCAGUAAGAUGCCCAGUAAAGUGUUUCAGAAUCUGGUCUUUGGGGUGCGACUUGUCAUUAAUUUUUGCCCCAUCC
RNAcentral lists this long non-coding RNA (1244 nucleotides) under Coturnix japonica (Japanese quail). Its description in RNAcentral is "lncRNA (ENSCJPG00005012411.1)". Lineage: Eukaryota; Metazoa; Chordata; Aves; Galliformes; Phasianidae. The record is from RNAcentral.